Pelobates cultripes (western spadefoot toad) is the source of this 217-nucleotide non-coding RNA. NCBI's taxonomy places the organism in Eukaryota, Metazoa, Chordata, Amphibia, Anura, Pelobatidae. The record is from the annotation of a GenBank genome assembly.
UGUUUAGGAUAUGCGGACAAGUUAUCACGCCAGAGACCUUUCACUUUUUUCCUUGUCUUGCAGUGUGAUCGCCUUCUCGACAAGUGUGCACGUCUUCUAUUCGGGACAAAUGCUCAUCUUCCACAUCGUUACACCAUGGAACUACCGGAGUUAUUUCCCCUAUUAUGCUGUUGAACUGUUAACGUAAUUUGUCUUAGGUUUUAUUGUUAUUUACUAU